GCAUGUGAGAACUUUUGGCUGAUGAAUACAAGAUACGCUCAUUCAUUCUCUUCAUUGCUAUGAAAUCAGUUUUUCCACAACCUCCUGCAGAACCUCAACACAUCACUAGGUGGCAACAUGCCUACACCAUAUCGGUUUAGAAACCACGGUUAGGAGGAGCAGCAAAACACGCGGCAUCCCAGUAUGAUUCAGAAGUAAAGUUUACAAUCUUUGAGGCCUGGCUGACUCAUGGAACAACUAGGACAAGAAACAAAGACAAAGAACACACACCUGACUGGACAGAGAUAAACCAAGAGCUGACAGUUUUGGAAACAAGGCUGGAGCUGAGGAAAAGGACUGGGAACACGAACCUGUACAAACAACAAAUUCUUACAACAGAAAACAAGCCACUCCUGGCCGUCAAGAAACCCACCAAUCUCAGAAGCAAAAGCAAAACAAAUGAAAAUACAAACCAAAUAGUCUCUAUUACCUUCAUGCCUGUUGGGUCCCAAUAAAGGAAUAAUUCCAAUAAA
RNAcentral lists this non-coding RNA (512 nucleotides) under Pan troglodytes (chimpanzee). Lineage: Eukaryota; Metazoa; Chordata; Mammalia; Primates; Hominidae. The record is from RNAcentral.